GGGGGCGAAUGGGGCCUGGUGGCUUCCGUCGUCUUCAAAACGGCUGUGACCUGACUUCGUCGGGUUGGGUGGGUUCGAUUCCCACACGCUCCCGCCA
Molecule: transfer RNA, 97 nt
Filed under: Gemmatimonadaceae bacterium
Lineage: Bacteria; Pseudomonadati; Gemmatimonadota; Gemmatimonadia; Gemmatimonadales; Gemmatimonadaceae
Description: tRNA-Sec
Rfam family: Selenocysteine transfer RNA
Source: RNAcentral